RNAcentral lists this ribosomal RNA (687 nucleotides) under uncultured archaeon. Its description in RNAcentral is "bacterial SSU rRNA". It matches the Rfam family "Archaeal small subunit ribosomal RNA", at positions 78 to 768 of the family's 1478-position model. The record is from RNAcentral.
GUGGCGAACGGCUCAGUAACACGUAGUCAACAUGCCCAGAGGACGUGGAUAACCUCGGGAAACUGAGGAUAAACCGCGAUAGGCCAUAAUUUCUGGAAUGGUUUAUGGCUGAAAUCUAUAUGGCCUCUGGAUUGGACUGCGGCCGAUCAGGCUGUUGGUGAGGUAAUGGCCCACCAAACCUGUAACCGGUACGGGCUCUGAGAGGAGGAGCCCGGAGAUGGGCACUGAGACAAGGGCCCAGGCCCUAUGGGGCGCAGCAGGCGCGAAAUCUCUGCAAUAGGCGAAAGCUUGACAGGGUUACUCUGAGUGAUUCCCGCUAAGGGGAUCUUUUGGCACCUCUAAAAAUGGUGCAGAAUAAGGGGUGGGCAAGUCUGGUGUCAGCCGCCGCGGUAAUACCAGCACCCCGAGUGGUCGGGACGAUUAUUGGGCCUAAAGCAUCCGUAGCCGGUACUGCAAGUCCCCCGUUAAAUCCAGCUGCUCAACAGAUGGGCCGCGGAGGAUACUACAGAGCUAGGAGGCAGGAGAGGCAAGCGGUACUCAGUGGGUAGGGGUAAAAUCCGUUGAUCCAUUGAAGACCACCAGUGGCGAAGGCGGCUUGCCAGAAUGCGCUCGACGGUGAGGGAUGAAAGCUGGGGGAGCAAACCGGAUUAGAUACCCGGGUAGUCCCAGCUGUAAACGAUGCAGACU